CAGCCCCAGGCAAUGCUACGUGUUGUACUGAGGGACAUGGCACUUGGCAGUUAAAAAAAAGUGAAAAGUCCUUUUCCACACCUGAAUCUUAUGGAACAACUUAUUCGAUGACAUCCCCAAGCAAAUGGAAGAAAAUAAGGUUAUCAGGAGUAGUUAGGAUGGGUUCACCAAUGGGAAAUCAUGCCUGAUCAGUCUGAUAGUCUCCUAGGAUUUCAUGUCUGGCUGGAUUGAUGAGGUGUGGGUGGACGACCGACCCAGGGAGGUCAUGUUUAUCCCCCCCUGGGUCACUGCGAGCAAAACAGCUACUAUGGAUCACUGUCUCACACACAAUAAUGACAGGAUUAGACAAAAGGAAUGCAGAGCUGCGAGAGAAAAUGCUGUGCCAGGUGCCAUGAGACAAGCUGCAAGCAACUGCAAGUUAUGAGAACCGCGCCUUGUUGUACUUAGCAUGCUAUGUGUACCUCUCUGUAUAAAUGGCUGUGUGCAGUUAUUAAAUGGCUUGGCUACUAGUAACCAGA
Long non-coding RNA from Gallus gallus (chicken), 518 nucleotides. RefSeq lists it as uncharacterized. The transcript is spliced from 3 exons. The record is from RefSeq and is a predicted model, not a curated record. Lineage: Eukaryota; Metazoa; Chordata; Aves; Galliformes; Phasianidae.